UACAGAGGUCCCAAGCGUUGUUCGGAUUCACUGGGCGUAAAGGGUGCGUAGGUGGCCAGGUAAGUUCGGUGUGAAAGCUCGGAGCUUAACUCCGAAAUGUCAUUGAAUACUAUCUGGCUGGAGGGUCGGAGGGGAGACUGGAAUUCUCGGUGUAGCAGUGAAAUGCGUAGAUAUCGAGAGGAACACCAGUGGCGAAGGCGGCACUCUGGGCCGGUACUGACGCUGAGGAGCGAAAGCGUGGGUAGCAAACAGG
This 253-nucleotide ribosomal RNA is filed under the name uncultured bacterium. Its description in RNAcentral is "partial 16S ribosomal RNA". It matches the Rfam family "Bacterial small subunit ribosomal RNA", at positions 524 to 776 of the family's 1533-position model. The record is from RNAcentral.